RNAcentral lists this ribosomal RNA (499 nucleotides) under uncultured bacterium. RNAcentral's name for it is "bacterial SSU rRNA". It matches the Rfam family "Bacterial small subunit ribosomal RNA", at positions 903 to 1397 of the family's 1533-position model. The record is from RNAcentral.
AAAGGAAUAGACGGGGGCCCGCACAAGCGGUGGAGUAUGUGGUUUAAUUCGAUGAUACGCGAGAAACCUUACCUGGAUUUGACAUGUCCGGAAUCUUUUGGAGACAAGAGAGUGCCUGCUUGCAGGAGCCGGAGCACAGGUGGUGCAUGGUUGUCGUCAGCUCGUGUCGUGAGAUGUUCGGUUAAGUCCGGCAACGAGCGCAACCCUUUUUGUCGGUUGCCAGCACGUAAUGGUGGGGACUCCGACGAUACUGCCGGUGACAAACCGGAGGAAGGUGGGGACGACGUCAAAUCAUCACGCCCCUUACGUCCAGGGCGACACACGUACUACAAUGCGCGGCACAACGAGCAGCAAUGCGGCGACGCAAAGCGAAUCUCUUAAAACCGCGCCAAGUUCGGAUCGGAGUCUGCAAUUCGGCUCCGUGAAGCCGGAAUCGCUAGUAAACGCGAAUCAGCAUGUCGCGUUGAAUACGUUCUCGGGCCUUGUACACACCGCCCGU